AUUGAACGCUGGCGGCAUGCUUUACACAUGCAAGUCGAACGGUAACAGGCCGCAAGGUGCUGACGAGUGGCGAACGGGUGAGUAAUGCAUCGGAACGUGCCCAGUCGUGGGGGAUAACGCAGCGAAAGCUGUGCUAAUACCGCAUACGAUCUAUGGAUGAAAGCGGGGGACCGUAAGGCCUCGCGCGAUUGGAGCGGCCGAUGUCAGAUUAGGUAGUUGGUGGGGUAAAGGCUCACCAAGCCAACGAUCUGUAGCUGGUCUGAGAGGACGACCAGCCACACUGGGACUGGGACACGGCCCAGACUCCUACGGGAGGCAGCAGUGGGGAAUUCUGGACAAUGGGCGCAAGCCUGAUCCAGCAAUGCCGCGUGCAGGAGGAAGGCCUUCGGGUUGUAAACUGCUUUUGUACGGAACGAAAAGGUUUGGGUUAAUACCCUGGGCCGAUGACGGUACCGUAAGAAUAAGCACCGGCUAACUACGUGCCAGCAGCCGCGGUAA
Molecule: ribosomal RNA, 498 nt
Filed under: uncultured bacterium
Lineage: Bacteria
Description: partial 16S ribosomal RNA
Rfam family: Bacterial small subunit ribosomal RNA
Source: RNAcentral